AUGAAAGUACUUCGGCAUGCUGUCAUCUUUAUAUGGAGGGUAACACUAGUUUUCACCUCAAACUUGUCAACAACCAUAGCAAAAGCAACAUUGAUGCACUCUCUAAUUAACCACACCUCUAAGCCGUGGGAUAGAAUCAGCAUAGCUAGUGAUGGGCCGAGUGGCCUUCUGCUAUGGUGGCAGAUAGUCGACCAAUCCAACUGUGUUGCUGCCAAGAAAAACAGGGCAGACUAUGCAUGUAUCAGUGAGCAUGCCGAGUGCUUUGACGGAAGCCAUGGCUACAACUGCAUGUGCAGCAUUGGCUAUACAGGCAACCCCUACUUUCCAGAUGGUUGCUCCAAGCUCGACAACAGAGGGUAUAAUCCAAUUCCGAGCAGGGCUGAUUGCACCCGUUGGUGUGGUAACGUUAGUGUGCAAUUCCCAUUUGGCUUAGAAGAGGGUUGCUUUGCAAGUGAAGAUUUUCACCUCAACUGCACAAAUACGACGUCAUCAGCUGCCCUGAUUUUGUUGGAGGCGAAACAGGUCAUCGGCAUAAAUAUUGAUGAAGGGACCGUUAACAUCACCAGUCUUGACCAACAGGGCAUAUACAGCAUGACUGAAAAUUUUGUGUUUCCUAUUCCUGGGUCAUUCUCCUCUGCGCAAUGGGUUGCUGCUAAUCUAAGUUGUUUAGAGGCCCAGCAGAAUAGCUCUAGAUAUGCUUGCGUGAGUAUCAACAGCAAGUGCGUGGAAGUAAGUGUUAAAGAUCUCGAUUCUGUUCAUAGAGUAUAUGUUGGUUACCGUUGCAAAUGCUCAGAUGGCUUCCAAGGAAAUCCAUACAUCCAAACCGGUUGUCAAGAUAUCAAUGAAUGCCUACAACCGAACAAAUGUAAAGGGAUCUGUCAUAAUACCAAAGGAAGUUUUAGUUGUAUUGAAUGUCCUCGCAAGACUGAGUAUGAUCCACUAAAAAUGCAGUGUACUAAGAGGCAACAACCUCUGAUCUUAGGUAUAAUUAUUGGGUUGUCUUGUGGUUUCGGCAUUCUAUUUCUGAGCUUCAGUGCAGCACUUCUCAUUCGUAGAUGGAAACGAAAUGUUCAAAAGCAACUACGGAAGAACUAUUUCCGGAAGAACCAAGGUCUUCUACUAGAAACGUUGAUAUCAUCGGAUGAAACUGCAAAUGAGAAUACUAAGAUUUUCCCGCUAGAAGAGCUGGAGAAGGCAACAAACAACUUUGAUCCUAAACGCAUCAUCGGCCAUGGGGGGCAUGGCAUGGUUUACAAAGGAAUAUUAUCUGAUCAGCGUGUCGUUGCAAUAAAAAAGUCUAAGAUCAUUGAGCAGUGUGAGAUCAGUCAAUUCAUCAAUGAGGUUGCAUUCCUCUCUUAG
Molecule: ribosomal RNA, 1359 nt
Filed under: Triticum aestivum (bread wheat)
Lineage: Eukaryota; Viridiplantae; Streptophyta; Magnoliopsida; Poales; Poaceae
Description: partial small subunit ribosomal RNA
Source: RNAcentral